Molecule: transfer RNA, 72 nt
Filed under: Trichococcus ilyis
Lineage: Bacteria; Bacillati; Bacillota; Bacilli; Lactobacillales; Carnobacteriaceae
Description: tRNA_Gln_TTG
Rfam family: tRNA
About the family: Transfer RNA (tRNA) molecules are approximately 80 nucleotides in length. Their secondary structure includes four short double-helical elements and three loops (D, anti-codon, and T loops).
Source: RNAcentral
UGGGCUAUCGCCAAGCGGUAAGGCAACGGACUUUGACUCCGUCAUUCGUUGGUUCGAAUCCAGCUAGCCCAG